GGGUGCGAUCAUACCAGCACUAAUGCACCG
This 30-nucleotide non-coding RNA is filed under the name Mus musculus (house mouse). RNAcentral also lists the same sequence under 2 other names. Lineage: Eukaryota; Metazoa; Chordata; Mammalia; Rodentia; Muridae. The record is from RNAcentral.